GACGAACGCUGGCGGCGUGCCUAAUACAUGCAAGUCGAGCGGAAUGAUGAAGAAGCUUGCUUCUUCUGAUUUUAGCGGCGGACGGGUGAGUAACACGUGGGCAACCUACCUUGUAGAUUGGGAUAACUCCGGGAAACCGGGGCUAAUACCGAAUAAUCCAUUUUGCUUCAUGGCGAGAUGUUGAAAGACGGUUUCGGCUGUCACUAUAAGAUGGGCCCACGGCGCAUUAGCUAGUUGGUAGGGGUAAUGGCCUACCAAGGCGACGAUGCGUAGCCGACCUGAGAGGGUGAUCGGCCACACUGGGACUGAGACACGGCCCAGACUCCUACGGGAGGCAGCAGUAGGGAAUCUUCCACAAUGGACGAAAGUCUGAUGGAGCAACGCCGCGUGAGUGAAGAAGGUUUUCGGAUCGUAAAACUCUGUUGUAAGGGAAGAACACGUACGAGAGUAACUGCUCGUACCUUGACGGUACCUUAUUAGAAAGCCACGGCUAACUACGUG
This 501-nucleotide ribosomal RNA is filed under the name uncultured bacterium. Its description in RNAcentral is "bacterial SSU rRNA". It matches the Rfam family "Bacterial small subunit ribosomal RNA", at positions 28 to 507 of the family's 1533-position model. The record is from RNAcentral.